Molecule: long non-coding RNA, 357 nt
Filed under: Mytilus galloprovincialis (Mediterranean mussel)
Lineage: Eukaryota; Metazoa; Mollusca; Bivalvia; Mytilida; Mytilidae
Source: RNAcentral
UAUAAAGUGCGAUACGACAUAGAAACGAUUGAAAAAAAACAGAAAUAAACGAAACAAAAUGAAAAUUAAUCAAAAAUAUAAUGACAUCGAUGCGAAAUACUUAUAAAAUAUCCCGUUAAAGUUCAAGUCUUAGGCUGGAUUGUUCACGAUUGAAAAUAAACAGCUGCACCAUGAGCGUAUGAUACGCCCUUCGUCUUGUGUGUGAAGUUAUAUGCAAUAAAUAUAUUAAAUAGUUUCUGAGAUACGGCGCUUCAUGUGAAAAAAAACUUUUUUUACCAAAAUUAAAUUUUGAAUCAUCACCAAAAACUAUACAGAUCUUUAGAUUAAUAUAACUAAGAAAUGUGUAAAGUUGUAAAG